This 425-nucleotide ribosomal RNA is filed under the name uncultured bacterium. RNAcentral describes it as "bacterial SSU rRNA". It matches the Rfam family "Bacterial small subunit ribosomal RNA", at positions 917 to 1341 of the family's 1533-position model. The record is from RNAcentral.
GGGCCCGCACAAGCGGUGGAGCAUGUGGUUUAAUUCGAUGCAACGCGAAGAACCUUACCUACUCUUGACAUCCAGAGAAGCCAGCGGAGACGCAGGUGUGCCUUCGGGAGCUCUGAGACAGGUGCUGCAUGGCUGUCGUCAGCUCGUGUUGUGAAAUGUUGGGUUAAGUCCCGCAACGAGCGCAACCCUUAUCCUUGUUUGCCAGCGAGUAAUGUCGGGAACUCCAGGGAGACUGCCGGUGAUAAACCGGAGGAAGGUGGGGACGACGUCAAGUCAUCAUGGCCCUUACGAGUAGGGCUACACACGUGCUACAAUGGCGCAUACAGAGGGCGGCGAACUUGCGAGAGUGAGCGAAUCCCAAAAAGUGCGUCGUAGUCCGGAUUGGAGUCUGCAACUCGACUCCAUGAAGUCGGAAUCGCUAGUAA